ACAGGUUCAAAGGAGGAGCCGCCAGAACCACAAUUCGUCCUCCACCCAUUUGAUAGCAACAGCCAAAAAAAAAAAAAUAAGUGGCAACCCCCAAUGUUACAUAAAAGCUGUUCGCAAAAUGAGUUACGAGAAGCAGAAAUCUGCAACAAAGUUAAGCCCAGGAGACCAGCACAGAGACAAAAAGUGCUUCCUUGAGAGGGUUGGUGGCAAUCUGGCAGCAUCUCCAUGCUGACCACGGUCACAGGAAGAGUUUAAAACACUAAAAUUCUCAUUAUUACAAUACAUGAUGCUGGCACUCUACAGUCUUUCAGCAAAACCCAUUCUGAAGCCAAGCACUUUUCCUGAUGAGCCCCUGCCUAAUGUUAUUGAUGGCUUUUACAGAGCACAUUCCCUGGAUCCCGGCUGCCCGCAGCACUCCCGGGUAGCCUCGAGAAAAUGCAGAGCACAGGGAGAGGGCUCUCUCCGUAUCCGCUCUCGCUCCGUACCGGGCAGAUCUCCCGCUGCGUGCGAGGAGCUCUUUCAUCGGGACAAGUCAAUCAGCAAAGAUCUCUCCAGACACAGACCUCUCGCUGGGAAGAGGGGCGGAAAGCCCCGAACUGCGUGGGAUGCAUCCACAGCCCAGUUUGGCCACGGACAGGGAAUACCCAAGUAUCCCACAGGCAUAAAAUAAAAACAAAAUUAAAAAAAAAAAAAAUACGGAAAAACCCGGCGAUAUCUUUUCUAGAUCCCAGGCUUUGCUUGAAAAGCAGCACCUGAGCCUCCCAUUAACCACAACGAUCGCUUUUUAGGAGCAAUUCUGGGUGUCCCCCUGAAGCACAGCGCCCAGCCAGGCCACCGGCCAUGUCACCUUCCCCGGCUGCCAUGAGGAAGCGGGUGCGUCCCUUUACACCCCUGCCAAGGGAUCACAUCCAGGAGUUGCGGAACAAAAAAGGACUCUGGAAACCCGGCGCCCCGGGAGCGCUUCGGUGACGGACCGCACGGAGGGCGAGGCCGCCGCCGCCACCACCUCGACCCACGGGCGAAGUUCAGCCUUUCCUGCAGAGAACCCGGGUGGGUGAAACCGCGAGGGCACCGCGAGGGGACCGGGAGGGGACCGGGAGGGGACCGGGAGGGGACGAGGACCCCCGUGGGGGUGCGGGGGGUGCCCCCUCCGCAUCCCGCGCACGUGCGGGCGCCGUCCCGGCGGGUGCGGGGAAAGUUGCGGGGCCCCUCCAGGACCGGGUAAACAGCCCCCGGCCCGGGAUCCCGGGAAAACACAGGCGUGCACAGAGACCCCUCCCCGCUCACCUUGGUGUAGAGCUGCACGGUGGACAUGGCUGGGGCCGGCAGCGCUAAGCGCGGAGCAUGGGGGCGGCGGGCGGGCGGGCGGACCGACAGCCGGACAGACGGACACACGGACGCACCGACCUUUACACCCGCCGCGGCCGGCCGGGGUGCGGGGACGGGAAGGGAAGGGAGCGGCGGCAGGAGGAGGAGGAGGAGGAGUAGGAGGGGGGGGAGAGGAAGGAGGAGGCAGCACCGCUCCGCCUCCGCCGCGCCCCGCUCAGGUAUGGGGCGGCUCGGCUCGGCUCCUUUCGGUUCGCUUCGCCUCGGGUUUUAUUAUUAAUUUAUUUAUCUUUUUAAAGCCCUUUUUAAUAAUUUUUUUUUUUCCCUGGCGGUCACCACCAUCCCGCCCGGCCCGGUCCCCCGCCAGGGGUAGGGACCCCCCCGGCACCGUGGGUUGGUGCUGGGUUUGGGGUUUUUUCCCCCCUUUUAUUCAUCUUCCUUUCUCACAGAAGAAGAGUAACUGAGCCCCAGUGCGGUGCCCCUCGGUGGUUUGGAGGUCUCCCAUCCUCAACCAUGGGGAUCACCCACAUUUUGGGGUGCGAGGAAUGGCGUUACUGGGGUGUCCUUUGCCAGGACACACCUGUUCCCUGGGAGGAGAGCAUUGUCCUCAUGAACCCACUGAAAAUCCACUCAAGAAACGUGCCAGAUAUAGGUUUUUCUCUGCCUUCUUCUGUCUGGAGGUGGGUUUGGGGUCCCACCACCAACGUGGCUCCUGGACACUGCUUGUGUGACACUCCUACGCUGAAGGAAUUGUUACUUCGGCAGCAACAGCCAAAAAUUGAUCCCAGCCUGUCGAUCCGUGGCCAUGCUGCCUCCCUCCAUCCCGCGGGAGCACCCUGUGCUUCGGUUCGUGCUUAUAAGGCACUUUUAGAGCCCGGGAAGGAUGAUGCAAAUGCAGAGUGUUCCUAAUUAAUCACUAUUGCCAUUCUUUAUCAUUCAGGGCAUUUUGCAUAUUAACUAAGCAGGCAGAAAACACACUCCGCGGGUCCUGUUCUCUGUCACAGUUGUUUGCUCCGUCGCUGGGAUCCGUCCUCCCGCGGUUUCGGGCUGUGCUGCUCACAGAGCACCCUCAGCCUUUCUUUAAAGACGUUGCUGGUGGCAUCUUACCCUCUGCUCCUCAUCCCUUGGGGGGUGAAAUUCCCCCCUUCGGAAGCUUUUCUUUUUUCCACCCCAGAGCCUGGCAGAGCACAGCACCGAUUGGGUGGGAGGAUAGCCGGCAUCGCAGAUACCUUUCUUUUCCAGCUCUGAUGUCUUUGAUGAAUCCAAAUAAACUGCAGGUGGCUCUGGGGGAAGUUUGGGAAGGAGGAAAGAGGGGGAGAAAAAGCUGCACCACUGCUGGAAAUUACUCUGGGAAAAUUUGACAGUGUAAUCUCUGUAAAGCCUCCAAGAGAGCUUUGUCAGGCAAACAAAACUUGCUCCCCUCCUUUCACUAAAUCAGCUGUGGAAACAAAACGUGGAGCACCAGUGCAAGCAGAAGCGAAGCUCAGUGAAGCUGGGGUAGCAGUGAUAGCCCAGAGGCAAAGCACAGCAGUUCCCAUGAAAUACCAGCUGGUGCCGUGUGUGAUUCUCCAUUAAUCUAAAAUUUUAAUUAAAGCCAGAAACUAAACCCACCAAAAUACAUACAAAAUCCCCGAAGUACAUCCUAAAUGCUGAGUUGCUGGAUGUUGUCUUAUCCAGGAGAUAGAUUAUUUUUGUUUGGGAAUCAAAACUUGUGUUGAUCAUAUUUAAGAAGCACUGGCUCUUAAAUAGCAUUUUAUGGUAUCCCCUCUGGCAUUUACGUUGAAGGCAUUUAGAGGUGAAAAUGAACCAAAUACUAGGUUUUUUCCCCUCUAAGCAGAGCCAGUGGGUUCCUUGCAAGUACAGGAUGGGUGUUGGACUUUAUUUUAAGGUCCCAGCCUUGUCUCUGUGUUGCAAUGACACAUGGAGACCCCAGGGACAGAUGGAUGGACGGACAGAUGACAGCACAGGGCAGUGAGGGGCAUCAAUUCUGACAGCUCCAAAUGUCACCAGGACAGAGUUGACUGUUCCUAAAGACAAUGCCAGGUCCUGAAUUUUUGCAUGCAAAGCUGCCCCAACGACCUCAAAUCUGGACUUCCCUCCUCCUGGGCCACACAGAAGUCACCAUGUGAGAGAGCUGGGUCUGGCAGUGUCACCAUACCCUGGGCAUGGCCACAACAACUGCUCCUACCUGAGUGAAAGUAAUGAAAACUUAUUCCAGGUGUUAAAGCGAUGAAUAAUUAACAAGGAGGGAUUUUCCUGCAAAUAAAACUGAUUCUGUCCAAAGCCCUGCAGCCCAGCCCCCGGAGCAGGGACCAAGCCAGCACCAUGCCAUGGGGCACCAGGAACCACUCCACAGCUCAGUGUCUCUGCAUGGCAAAAAACAUCACCAUGGAGAGCCCUGGGGUCAGGAUAAAAGCCCUUGUGAGCAGAAGGGUGCUCAGUCUGACAGCCUUGGCAAGGGCUGUAGGUUCAGACCUUGGAGUGGGUCUGGGAUGAUGGAUCAGGGACAGGCAAAUCACCCACGCUGCUCUUCCUCUGUCAGUGUCGAAACUUUAAUUAGAAAAUACAAGGAAGAAUAUUUUGCAAGGCUCUAGUACCUGCAUAAAUGAAAAGGCUGUAACUGCCAGGUUUUUAAAUGCCAGUGGUUUUGUCUCUGCGUGGCUCAGAGCCCUGGUGGAGGGAGAGCUCACCCAGCCGUGGUCCAGGCUGCUUCCCUCACCAGCGCUGUCCCUGCGCUCUCGGUUUAAUAGAUGGUUUGGCUUCGGGAUUGCUCACUCAGGCAGGAAAUACCACAUUCAUGAGCAGUAGGUAACGCUCCUGAGGUUCCUGGGACCUGCGAGCCACAAUUCCAGAUCCGUUUUGCUCAGUUAUUGCCCGAUGAUCUGUAAGUCACAAAUGUAACGUGAGCGCUGGCCCGAGGGAGGCAAAGGCACGACCAUGCUUUGAAGCACGUGCUACUCAGUGCCCUAUUUGCCCAGUUUACUGCAGGGAUAUCAAAAGAACUGGAAGAAGAGGGAAAUCCAUAGGAUCGAGGAGACUCUUCAGUCUCGGCAGAGAAUACCAUUCUUGCUGCAUCGCUCAUCUGGCUGUCAGGGGCUGCGAGAAGGUGCCUCUCAAGGAGUCUGCUGACCCACCCAGCCUCACCUGCUCUUCUGCACCAACCUGAAUUCUACAAAGCACUUGGCAGCAAAGGAUUCAGCCCCAGCAGCAUGUUCAUCCACCACCAGUUUUCUCUCAGAAGAGCUUAGCUGCCCGUUAUCCCAUGGGAAUUCACUCCUGCUGAAGGCAAACUUCUUCCAGUCUGAUCUUUUAAUUUUGUGCAGACCUCAUGUUCGCUGCAGAGGAAUUUUGCCUCCAGGAGCAGGAGCUCAGACACUUUAUAAAUGUUUGAUAGCUCUGACCACCUCUUCUGAGUUAUUAUUUUAUUAAAAAAAGAAAUUUAUUACGGUUCUGGAUGGUUCAAAUUCACCAAGCUCAACAAUAUGAUUUUUUUUUUCUCUCUCAUAUUGCAUAUGGCCCCAACAAAUGUCACAGCCUUUAAUAACAUGCUUUAAUUAAUCCUGGAAUUCUGAAUGUGCUAUUAUCUUCAUUUUUCAAAGAGAGGUCACAGUAGUAAAGAAAAAUCUACAUUGCUUGCAUAGGGCCACUCCUGGAGUCUGCGGCAGACCAGGAAAUUAAUCUCUUAAUCAUUCUGCCAGUUUGACCCAGCAGUGAGAGGACAGACCUAUGACUACCUCAGCUCUCUGGGCUGAUGAAACUAUUUCCAUUAUCUGGGAUGACCUUUCCUAUCAGCAAAACAGGAGGAGCAGCUCUGAAAUCCCCUGUAUGGUUUUGGAAAUGGUUGUUGAAAAGCACCGUGAAGGGGCUCAGCAUCCCGACUAACAACUCACCUCUCCCAGUCUGCAACGUUUCCCUUCCUUGGAGGUUUCCUUUCUCAGUAUCUGUAGGACACAAACCCUAUCUGUAUUCAAGGAAUAAGACAUGAAGAGGCUUUGCUCUGCUCUGUCUGGUCACCUGCCUGGAUGGUAACAGCCAGUGGACUUGUCCCUCUUCCAUCUGCUGACUCAGGAUGCUCCUCUCUGAGAUGUUUUGUCUGUAAGCAAGGAUAAAAUCCCACCACACUCCUUUUCCCCUCAGCAGGGCCAGGUUCUUCCACCAUUUACACCCAGAAUUAGCUGGGUUGUUCAAAGAUCACUGAUACUGUUUCAGAUUAAUACAUCUCUACCUGGCCUUUUUCUCCACAGAAAAAAAAAAAAAAACAUUUGCGAACUCGGUUUCUGCCUUAAACCACGAUGAGACAACUUUGCAGGCUGCUUACCCCUGAUUUGUUCUGAGAUAUCUGGGAGCUGGGGCUCCUGGGCUCUGAUCCGAGCCAUUUAUCAGCUCCUCUGAUGAAUGUGCAACCAUUCAUGCUCCCACAAAACAAAAACACAAAAGUCCUGGUAUUUGCCAACUGGGAAACAAACACUGAAAAGCAAGGUAGGGAGGACAAAAAGGGUAGAGAAAGUGGUUAGAGAUGGAUGGAAGAAGAAAAGGGUGGAGAAGCAGGGGCUGGAGCAAAGAGAGGAGAAGACAAAAAGCUGAAGGAGAGAAAAAUAGCUGCAGAUAAGCAGCAGCAAAGACACAAGGGGAAAAAUGAAAGAAAUAAUAUGAAACAUUUCCAGAUGCCACAAAGUCUACGAGCAAGAAAGGAUAUGAAGUUUUAAAUGGAUUCUUCACCUCCCUCCUCUGCAAAGGACUGAGAGAAAACUAAUUGAAUACACAGGAAGGAGCUGGUUGAGGGCAAUGGCUCGGGGAGAAGAUGGAUUGCUCCCACCCAUCCUCCUCGUGUCACCCCCUGCUCCUCUGCACACAGGGCAAUCUGGCCUUUGACAUGGGGAGCUGAGAAGGCAGAGAGGAGGUGUCCCUGCUCCCCACUGCCAAAACCCUCCCAACCCUCCUCUGCUGACAUCCAGCCAUUUCUUUUGUUGCUCCAUCCUAAAGUGUUGUUGGUGCUCUGGCCCCCCAUUCCAUCUGUUCAGACUGUGGUGUUGGUGACAAUCCAAGGAACCCAAAGAGGCAGACUUGCCAUGAAAGUGAUAGAAAAUAACAAGAAAAUAACAACUUCAGCCCUGCACAAUUAAUUCUGCACAAGCAGAGGACUCACAGACUAGCUUUGGGCUCUGGUAUUCCACAGAUCAUUCAACAGCCAUCAGAGUUUAUGGAAAAGAAUAUCAGCUUUUUACUGUCCAUCCCACAGUAAAAGAGAUUCAUAGUUUUAUAUUUAACAGCUAAAAUUGAGUCACCAAGUACGUUUUAUCUAGAUAUAAAGAAAAAAAAGAUUCUGCAAAUAUUUUCAGUUUGAAAGGCAUUUUAAUAAAAGUUUGCUGAAAGUCUUCCACAAAUUUUCUUCGUGCAGAUUUUAAAGAAUGCCUGUGUGUCUUAAGUGUCAUAAUAAUACACUAUUACACUGCAGAGAACAUACAGUAUUCUUGAAUUAAAAUGUCAAACGCUUCGAAUUGGAUCAGUCGUUUUCCCCAAAAAUAUCCACAGGGGAGAAAUAAACUUCAAAAUACUGCCUUUCUUAUAAAUUCCAAUUAAAUGUUUUGAGUAUUACAGUGGAGAGACUUCUGCUAACUCUAGUCAGGUAUAAACACUCUAGGAAAAUGUUUUCAAAGGCAACUGAGUGAGCUAAAAUACCACAGUGAGUAAUGCCCCCUAUGAGUCAGACAUUAGGGCUUUUCUCAUAGGGUGGGUUUUUAGUAUGGAGUCCCGGGGCGCUGACAGAAUGAACUGCACCCUUUCUUCAUACUCUCUCUGUUCUUCCAGACCUGCCUCAUAUUCCCGUUUCCUCUCCUUUUCCUCUUCCUCACGGAGGUGCUGUCGGUAGGAAAUCUGACUCGUGAGCUGAUCCCGGUACUCGUUGGCUUUCUGUACUUUUCUGAAAAUGCCAGAUGGACAGGUCAUUUAAGAAGUGUGGGUAAAAAGAAUAAACGUUAUUACUAUUA
This is a long non-coding RNA of Pseudopipra pipra, 7313 nucleotides long. RefSeq lists it as uncharacterized. The transcript has 2 exons. The record is from RefSeq and is a predicted model, not a curated record. Lineage: Eukaryota; Metazoa; Chordata; Aves; Passeriformes; Pipridae.